GAUGAACGCUGGCGGCGUGCCUAAUACAUGCAAGUCGAGCGAACAGACGAGGAGCUUGCUCCUCUGACGUUAGCGGCGGACGGGUGAGUAACACGUGGAUAACCUACCUAUAAGACUGGGAUAACUUCGGGAAACCGGAGCUAAUACCGGAUAAUAUAUUGAACCGCAUGGUUCAAUAGUGAAAGACGGUUUUGCUGUCACUUAUAGAUGUAUCCGCGCCGCAUUAGCUAGUUGGUAAGGUAACGGCUUACCAAGGCAACGAUGCGUAGCCGACCUGAGAGGGUGAUCGGCCACACUGGAACUGAGACACGGUCCAGACUCCUACGGGAGGCAGCAGUAGGGAAUCUUCCGCAAUGGGCGAAAGCCUGACGGAGCAACGCAGCGUGAGUGAUGAAGGUCUUCGGAUCGUAAAACUCUGUUAUUAGGGAAGAACAAAUGUGUAAGUAACUAUGCACGUCUUGACGGUACCUAAUCAGAAAGCCACGGCUAACUACGUG
RNAcentral lists this ribosomal RNA (497 nucleotides) under uncultured bacterium. RNAcentral describes it as "partial 16S ribosomal RNA". It matches the Rfam family "Bacterial small subunit ribosomal RNA", at positions 28 to 507 of the family's 1533-position model. The record is from RNAcentral.